CGAAUGGCUCAUUAAAUCAGUUAUCGUUUAUUUGAUAGUACCUUACUACUUGGAUAUCCGUGGUAAUUCUAGAGCUAAUACAUGCUAAAAUCCCCGACUUCGGAAGGGGUGUGUUUAUUAGAUAAAAAACCAAUGCCCUUCGGGGCUCUUUGGUGAUUCAGAAUAACUUUUCGAAUCGCAUGGCCUUGCGCCGGCGAUGGUUCAUUCAAAUUUCUGCCCUAUCAACUUUCGAUGGUAAGGUAUUGGCUUACCAUGGUUUCAACGGGUAACAGAGAAUUAGGGUUCGAUUCUGGAGAGGGAGCCGGAGGAACGGCUCCUACAUCCAAGGAAGGCAGCAGGCGCGCAAAUUACCCAAUCCCGACACGGGGAGGUAGUGACAAUAAAUACUGAUACAGGGCUCUUUUGGGUCUUGUAAUCGGAAUGAGUACAAUUUAAACCCCUUAACGAGGAACAAUUGGAGGGCAAGUCUGGUGCCAGCAGCCGCGGUAAUUCCAGCUCCAAUAGCGUAUAUUAAAGUUGUUGCAGUUAAAAAGCUCGUAGUUGAACCUUGGGCCUGGCUGGCCGGUCCGCCUCACCGCGUGUACUGGUCCGGCCGGGCCUUUCCUUCUGGAGAACCUCAUGCCCUUCACUGGGUGUGCUGGGGAACCAGGACUUUUACUUUGAGAAAAUUAGAGUGUUCAAAGCAGGCCUUUGCUCGGAUACGUUAGCAUGGAAUAAUAGAAUAGGACGUGCGGUUCUAUUUUGUUGGUUUCUAGAACCGCCGUAAUGAUUAAUAGGGACAGUCGGGGGCGUCAGUAUUCAAUUGUCAGAGGUGAAAUUCUUGGACCAAUUGAAGACUAACUACUGCGAAAGCAUUCGCCAAGGAUGUUUUCAUUAAUCAGUGAACGAAAGUUAGGGGAUCGAAGACGAUCAGAUACCGUCGUAGUCUUAACCGUAAACUAUGCCGACUAGGGAUCGGGCGAUGU
Molecule: ribosomal RNA, 965 nt
Filed under: Rutola sp. SH-2023a
Lineage: Eukaryota; Fungi; Ascomycota
Description: SSU rRNA
Rfam family: Eukaryotic small subunit ribosomal RNA
Source: RNAcentral